Molecule: transfer RNA, 96 nt
Filed under: Burkholderiaceae bacterium
Lineage: Bacteria; Pseudomonadati; Pseudomonadota; Betaproteobacteria; Burkholderiales; Burkholderiaceae
Description: tRNA-Sec
Rfam family: Selenocysteine transfer RNA
Source: RNAcentral
GGAAGGGAACCGUUUCCCGGUGGAGCGCCCGGACUUCAAAUCCGGCGUGAGGCGCUGAGCGUCUUUGGUGGGUUCGACUCCCACUCCCUUCCGCCA